This 301-nucleotide ribosomal RNA is filed under the name uncultured bacterium. Its description in RNAcentral is "partial 16S ribosomal RNA". It matches the Rfam family "Bacterial small subunit ribosomal RNA", at positions 509 to 807 of the family's 1533-position model. The record is from RNAcentral.
CAGCCGCCACGGGAAUACGGAGGGGGCUAGCGUUGUUCGGAAUUACUGGGCGUAAAGCGUACGUAGGCGGCUUUGUAAGUUAGAGGUGAAAGCCUGGAGCUCAACUCCAGAAUUGCCUUUAAGACUGCAUCGCUUGAACGUCGGAGAGGUGAGUGGAAUUCCGAGUGUAGAGGUGAAAUUCGUAGAUAUUCGGAAGAACACCAGUGGCGAAGGCGGCUCACUGGACGACUGUUGACGCUGAGGUACGAAAGCGUGGGGAGCAAACAGGAUUAGAUACCCCUGUAGUCCCUGUCUCUUAUAC